UGGAAUUAUUUACUUCCUAUUAUUUACUUUAGGGAUUUAACUUCCUGAUUGUGAGAAUUAGGGAUUUGAUAUUCAAAUUGGGGAUUUCAUUUGCUCAGUGCGAGAUGAAGACGAAGACGAAGACGAACUGCAAUAUUGGACAAGACGAAGAGAAUCCAGCUGAUAGUUGACGCAAACUAAGUUUAGUUACUUUCGUAUCAUGUUUCGUUUUCUGUUUGGACGUAUAAAUAUCUUUUUGCUUUUACGGACAUGUGCGCCUUCGAUAAUUCAGUUUUUUGUGUUGUUCUGUGACUAUUUAUAAUGAUUUGUGGUCCCCAUUCUGCGUGUUCAACUGUUACAUUGUAGUUUAGAUACUAUGGUCCCGAUUUUUCAUUUUUGAAUUAUUUACAAGUAGUAGUGGUCCCCUGUCUAUGAGUGUUUCCUUAGUGGGGAUGUUACUUUGUUCCCUGUCCCCUGUCUGAGUCUGUGUGAGUGUUUAGUUAGUGAGAGAGUGUUCCUGUAGUGGUAGGAGUGUAAUUGAAAUAAUUUUUUCACCCCAUAAUGUACAAGUAUUAAAAGCAACUUGUUGAUAUGGAUAAGGAACAUAUUAAAGUUGUGGUCCACCAUACUGGACAUUUUGUCAGUGAUGAUAAUGGGUAGUUAAAAUU
RNAcentral lists this long non-coding RNA (647 nucleotides) under Vigna radiata. Its description in RNAcentral is "long non-coding RNA (VRAD_LNC012059)". Lineage: Eukaryota; Viridiplantae; Streptophyta; Magnoliopsida; Fabales; Fabaceae. The record is from RNAcentral.